Triticum urartu is the source of this 135-nucleotide non-coding RNA. NCBI's taxonomy places the organism in Eukaryota, Viridiplantae, Streptophyta, Magnoliopsida, Poales, Poaceae. The record is from Rfam.
AUUGUACUUCCUUCAUUUCGAAUUAUUUGUUUUGGAUUUGUCUAUAUACGGAUGUAUCUAGACCCAUUUUAGUGCUAGACACCUCCGUAUCUAGACAACUCUAAGACAAAUAAUUCGGAACGGAGGGAGUACUAG